Molecule: ribosomal RNA, 975 nt
Filed under: Alexandrium catenella
Lineage: Eukaryota; Dinophyceae; Gonyaulacales; Pyrocystaceae
Description: eukaryotic LSU rRNA
Rfam family: Eukaryotic large subunit ribosomal RNA
Source: RNAcentral
CUAAGCGUGAAGUGAAGCACAUAAACCUGCUGAAUUUAAGCAUAUAAGUAAGUGGUGGAAAUUAAACCAACUGGGAUCUCUUCAGUAAUUGCGCAUGAACCAGGAUAUGCUUAGCUUGACAAAUGGAGCUGCUGGCUCUGAAUUGUAUUGUGGGAAUGUAUUACCAACAGAGGUGCAGGUGUCAGCCAUUUGAAAGAAAGCAUCAAUGAGGGUGAGAGUCCUGUUUGUCAUGUGCAGCCUUCUGUGCACGGUGUAUAUUUGCUGAGUCACACUCCUYGGCAUUGGAAUGCAAAGUGGGUGGUAAGUUUCAUGCAAAGGUAAAUAUGCAAUUGAGACUGAUAGCGCACAAGUACCAUGAGGGACAUAUGAAAAGGACUUUGAAMAGAGAAUUAAAUGAGUUUGUAUUUGCUAAACACAAAGUAAACAGACUUGAUUUCCUCAGUGAGAUUGUAGUGMUUGCUURACAAUGGGUUUUGGCUGCAAGUGCAAUAAUUCUUGCUUUGUGUGCCAGUUUUUAUGUGGACAUUUGAUUACCUUUGCACAUGAAUGGUAAUUUUCCUGCGGGGUGUGGAUUGCAUAUGCAUGUAAUGAUUUGCAUGUUUGUUAAAUGUGUCUGGUGUAUUUGUUUGUGUCCUUGUCCUUGAGGUUGCUUUCUCCCUUGGGCUUACAUGCCCUGGCACACACAUUCUGGCAAAAUGCUUCUGCUUGACCCGUCUUGAAACACGGACCAAGGAGUCUAACAGAUGUGCAAGUUUGAAGGUGGUAUACCUGUGUGUGUAAUGAAAGUAUUGGCUGGGAUAUUUGCACCAGCAGCCGACUAAUUAGCAGACAGAGGUUUGAGUUGGAGCAUAUCUAUUAGGACCCGAAAGAUGGUGAACUAUGCUUGAACAGAAAGAAUUCAGAGGAAACUCUGAUGGAGGUUCGUAUCGAUACUGACGUGCAAAUCGUUCGUCAUAUUUGGGUAUAGGGGCGAAA